RNAcentral lists this unclassified non-coding RNA (272 nucleotides) under fungal sp. RNAcentral's name for it is "partial internal transcribed spacer region". The stretch from base 1 to 46 matches the Rfam family "Eukaryotic small subunit ribosomal RNA", at positions 1786 to 1831 of the family's 1831-position model. The record is from RNAcentral. Lineage: Eukaryota; Fungi.
AAGUCGUAACAAGGUUUCCGUAGGUGAACCUGCGGAAGGAUCAUCAAUAAUCCAAAUGAUUAAUAGUUUUUUUUUUAAAACUAUUAAUUAAAACCUUCUUGUGAACUGUUUAAUGUUUUUGGUUGGGAGUAAAAUAGUGUGAUGUCUUAUUAGACGGAUCAACUCCCAAUUGAACAUCUAUACAAACUAUUUUAUUUUUUUAAAGUUGAUUAUUUAUACAGGAAACUGUACUAAUAUAAAUACAACUUUUAGCGAUGGAUCUCUAGGCUCUG